GACGAACGCUGGCGGCGUGCCUAAUACAUGCAAGUCGAGCGAGACUCUUCGGAGUCUAGCGGCGGACGGGUGAGUAACACGUGGGCAACCUGCCUGUAAGACUGGGAUAACACCGGGAAACCGGUGCUAAUACCGGAUAAUCCUUUUCCUCUCAUGAGGAAAAGCUGAAAGUCGGUUUCGGCUGACACUUACAGAUGGGCCCGCGGCGCAUUAGCUAGUUGGUGAGGUAACGGCUCACAAAGGCGACGAUGCGUAGCCGACCUGAGAGGGUGAUCGGCCACACUGGGACUGAGACACGGCCCAGACUCCUACGGGAGGCAGCAGUAGGGAAUCUUCCACAAUGGACGAAAGUCUGAUGGAGCAACGCCGCGUGAGCGAUGAAGGCCUUCGGGUCGUAAAGCUCUGUUGUUAGGGAAGAACAAGUAUCGGAGUAACUGCCGGUACCUUGACGGUACCUAACCAGAAAGCCACGGCUAACUACGUGCCAGCCGCCGCCGUAA
This 500-nucleotide ribosomal RNA is filed under the name uncultured bacterium. Its description in RNAcentral is "partial 16S ribosomal RNA". It matches the Rfam family "Bacterial small subunit ribosomal RNA", at positions 28 to 523 of the family's 1533-position model. The record is from RNAcentral.